Molecule: ribosomal RNA, 484 nt
Filed under: uncultured Gammaproteobacteria bacterium
Lineage: Bacteria; Pseudomonadati; Pseudomonadota; Gammaproteobacteria
Description: bacterial SSU rRNA
Rfam family: Bacterial small subunit ribosomal RNA
Source: RNAcentral
AUUGAACGCUGGCGGUAUGCUUAACACAUGCAAGUCGAACGGUAACAGCAGAGCUUGCUCUGGCUGACGAGUGGCGGACGGGUGCGUAACGCGUGGGAAUUUACCUUGUAGUGGGGGAUAGCCCGGAGAAAUCCGGAUUAAUACCGCAUAAUCUCUACGGAGCAAAGUGGGGGAUCUUCGGACCUCACGCUAUUAGAUGAGCCCGCGUUAGAUUAGCUUGUUGGUGAGGUAAUGGCUCACCAAGGCGACGAUCUAUAGCUGGUUUGAGAGGAUGAUCAGCCACACUGGGACUGAGACACGGCCCAGACUCCUACGGGAGGCAGCAGUGGGGAAUAUUGGACAAUGGGCGCAAGCCUGAUCCAGCAAUACCGCGUGUGUGAAGAAGGCCUGAGGGUUGUAAAGCACUUUCAAUAGGGACGAAAAGCUCAGGGUUAAUACCCUUGAGUCUUGACUUAACCUAUACAAGAAGCACCGGCUAACUCCG